UAUUCUUAUAGCAGGUCAUUUCCUAUGUUUCCUCUAGACUAUAUGUACCCCAAGGGUGUGACUGAGUGAAUCUAUCUUGAUCUUGGUGAUGUCCUCAAUACUCUGUAUAGUGCUUGGCACAUAGCAGGUUUUAGGUAAGUACUAAUUAGGUAUAUUCAUUCUAAUAACAGGUUCUAUAUCAGUGUCAGAAACCAGUGUUCAUAGAGAAAUUUCAAAUUCAUUCAAGAAGUGUAGAUAUUAUAUUGCCAUCAUUAGGAGUAGAGAGUGUGUGUAUUUUAAAUUAUAAGUAUAUCCAUAUAAAAAUGGCUGUUAUCAUCCAUCUUACAAGAUAUUUGAGAACUUGUAAAAUUUCACAAUGUUUAAUUGUAAGACAUUGCACAUUUCAAUUUUUCGUGAGUUUGACAAAUAUGUAUAUGUUAUUUUAUAUUUCUUAUACAAGAAAGUUUUAUGGCACUAUAAAGAAGUGAGUUUAAUGACUCUAUUUUUGUCCAUUAGUAAAUAUAUACUGAAGAGUAAAUUCUCAUUAAAAGACCCUUAAAUGCUUGCUCAUUAAAAAAAGAGACCUCUUUGAUUUUGCUCUCCAUACAUUCCUAGUUAUUGUAUUAGACAAGUCAUCAAACUCUUUAGUAGUCUAAACCUUUAAUUUGUUUUCAGAAAAGUAGUCAUGUAUUGAACACCCAAAUUACCAUGUCUUUAACAAGUAAUGCUAACACUCUGUAUUAAAAAGGUAAUGACCAUAACUUUUAUAGUAGAAUUUCUUGUACUAAUUUUUAAAAGAGGACUUUUGAGCCAAAUUUCCCGUGAAGACCCAAACUCAUACUUUUAAUGAGAGUGGAGUACGUAUGUAUAUGUAGAGGGGAAGGGGUUGUAAUUUUUGUGGUGGUAUUUUUAAGUGGACAGUUUACUAAUUAUUUUGAGGGAAACACUUUACAACUCUAAAAGGAAAACUUCAAUUAUCUGAAUGAAAUGAGGUACAUGAAAUUAAUUCAGAUAAGUGGGGAAUCCUUAGUGUAAAUGAUGCAUGUCAAAGGGACAUGACCUCAAUCUUGAUUUUUUUCUCCCCCUAUAUAUCUGUCAGCUGCUUUUAUGUUACUAGAUUGUAAUUCCUUUUAUUCAUACUAAGAAUCAUUGAUGGGAGGGAGGUAAAGUUGCUCUACAGAUUUUUUUUUUUUCCUUUGCCACAGAAGAAUCCCUGGUGGUAGUCUGUGCUGAGCAUAAUUGCUCAUCUCUACCCUGUAUUGCCUGCCAAUUUUAGGUGGUACACCACAGCCUUCCAUUUUGUCACCUUCCUGUCAAAUGUGUAUGGGAACCCCUUGAGACUACAAUUGAAUUGAAAUUAAAGCCACAUUUCUCUGUUCAAUUUCAAGAUGUUUAUCCUUCUUAAAAGUUGAGUUUCUACAAGUUGUAAGAGUACAUUGAGCUGGAUAAACCUUGUUUCCUUCUCUCUUGACUUGCUUAGGUUUUCAUAUUAAGCAGUUAUUUUGCAAUGUGAACCCUUAAAAUAUAAACAAACCUCAGGGCCUGACCCCUGACCUUUGUAAAUCCUAAGUUGAAAUGGAAAUUUUAGUCAUUGGGGUUGAGGAAAAUGAUUUCUGCUGCAGUUGACUAAGUUUUGCAGUAUUCUUGGGUUCAUGGCAUCUGAAAGCUAUUGUGUAAUCUGUAGCAAACCCCUAUAGCUGUGAUGAUAUUGUCUUCUAGGCUUUCUUUUGUUUUGUUUUUAAGUGGAGGCAAACUGUUGCAGCCACAGAGAUGUGGGCUGACACCUUUACAAAUGAAUUUACUUCUCUUUAACAUUACUAUAGGUUCUUUACUUGAAGCACCUGAGACCAUGCCUUUAUUUUCAGCAUGUACCAGCUUUCUUUUCAUCUCUUGGUUUUUAAGAUACAUGAUGAUUCAUAUCUUGAUUGCCUUGGGUAGUAUGUGGUAUCAGCAAGCUCUGCACCCAGACCUGGUGAGCAGCUCCUAGGUCAUUGUUUGAUGUUCCCCUAAGUAUGUGCAGGUGGUGUGACUAAAGAUUUUGGGCUUGAGGGUUAGCCCAGACUGAUUUUGACUCUUUACCAUUUAUGAUCAGUAUGCCUCUGUGAAAAAUUAGGUACUUGUCUCAGUUUCAGUUUCCUCAUCUUUAAAAUGUGACUAUCAUUUGGCAAUGUUGAGUUGGUUUUAAAAAUUAUUUAAAAAGUAAUCUUGGUGUGUUAGUUCAUUGUCAUAUUCAAAUAGUGUAAAUUAAUGCAUUGUCUAGCUCAUAGACUAUUUUAAAUGGAAGUAGAUUUUGUUCCAUUUAAAAAUAGAGGUAAUCAAGUUGGCGGAAGGCUUUCCAAAUAGAGGUCUUGCCCUUUUGACUUCAAAACUAUAUAAAACCCUUGUAAGCUAUUGAUCUAUUCAUAUAUACAAAUGAUAUACCAGUGUGUGAUGUACAGAGGUGGAACAUGCACUGACUGUAGUUUGGUCCAAAGGCUUGAUCUCCAGAAUUGCCAUUUUGAGAGUUGCUAUGGUCCUUCAAGAGGUAGGGCAUUGUAGGAUGCCCUAAGGUCACUGGGGGUGUGCUCUCAAGAGGAUUGUGGGACCUUGGUCUUAUCUUCUCUUUCUGCUUCCUGGCUCAUGAUGUGAGUACUCCCUCUGACAUGUGGUCCCACCAUGACAUGCUGCCCUUGCCAGAGGCUCAAACCAUGCAGCCACAUCGUUUUGGAGUUGAACCUCUAAAACUAUAAGCUGAAUAAGCCUUCUUUUCUUUAUAAGUAACUUAUAUCAGGUAUUCAUGUGGUAACACAAAUCUGACUACCGUACUCUGGAGUCAGACAUACUUGGAUUUGUAUAUAGAUGAUCUACCUCUUUCCACUUGAGUAACCUAGAGCAGAGUAUUUUAGCUGUUUGUUCAAAGUUUUUAUCUAUAAUGAAGAUAAAAAGACUAAUAAAGAUUAAAAAAUUAUAAAAAGAUUAUUAUUGAAACUUAGGUUAAGCAUGCAAAAUACUUCAUUGUAUCUGAGUCCAUUAAAUACUGGUAGUUAUCAUUUUGACCUUGGACAGAUAAUUUCCUGCUUCUACCCCAGGUUUCCAUAUCUGUACUACAACAGCUAGUGAAUACUGUUAUCAUCAAGAGUAAAUGAGAUAAUACAUGUAUGUGUUUACAAAAUGUUAAUAGCUAUUGUAUAUAUUAAUUCAGCUUCGGAAUAAAUUAGAUCAAUUUUGAGUUAAAGAAUUUUUCUACAUAUUUGAUAAAUUUAUUAUUUAUCCAACUUAAAUCAUUCAUAGCUUUCAGUAUUUUCUUAAGACAGUAUUUCUUAAAUUGUGGUGUACAGACCCUUUGGAGUCACAGAGUUGCUUUUAGGGGUACUAUGAGAAUAAAACUACUAUCAGAACAGUAAAUUUUUGCUUUUUUGUUUAAUGUUUUCCCUGCUUGUGCAAAGCUAGUGAUGAGUAAAACCAUCGAAAUCUUAAUAGAAAUUAAAUGCCAGCGGUACCAAACUAUACUAGUAAUCAUUGUAUCCUUCACUGAGAUGCUUUCACAGGUUAAAGUAAAACAACAACAAUGAAAACAAAGCUGGAGGUAUCCAGCUGACUUCACAUAAGAAAGUCCUUGAUAAAGUGGUAACAGUUAUUAAUCUUGUGAAAUUUUGACUCUGGAUAUUUUUUUAUUUUUAAAUUUGGUGUGAUGAGAUAGGACAUUUGCAAAAAGCACUUCUGCUGCACAUCCUGAGCACAUUGCUUGUCUAGAGGAAAAACCUUAAGUGUGAGUUUUUUUCUUUUGAGUUACCAAUGGAACUAGCCAUAUUUUUCAUGAAAUACCACUUUUGCUUUAAAGAAUCACUACUGGACAAACUCUGAUUAUUUAAAUUAUUUGGCAAUCUUUUUCUUGAAAAAUGAACAAAAUAAUGAGCCCAUCACUUUAAGGAAAAUUACUGACAGUGUUUGUUGUCAGUGAUAAAAAUGCAAACUUUUAAAAUGAAAAUUAAAGAUUUGGAUAAUUAACUUGGUUAAAUUUUAGAUAAUUUUAGGUAACUUGUGUUACUUCCUAUGCUUUUGUUUGCUUUUAAUAUUUAAAAAUUUUUUUGAUGAGAGAGGGUGAUAUUAAUGAAUGUGAGGUUUUUUUUUUUUUUUUUUUUUUGGUCAUAUAAUGAAUUAUGUCAAGAUUUGUAGUACCUACAUAACUGAAUAAACCACUAUUUUCUAACUUUCCAGUGUUACAAAAUUAUGGGUAAAAAGAUCCUUUCAAAUAGCAAGUAAUAGAAAAAUAAAUAUUACAGAAUACAAAAAUUUCAUAUAUAUUGGAUUCCACAUUUAUAAUUAGUCCUUAAGAAACUCCUACUUGUCAAGUUUUGCUGAAUUAUCAAAAAGAACAUCCUUAAUUAUAUGAAUAAUUGGUUAAUAUUAACACUCUUUUCAUGAUGUGUUUGAGGCCAUUUUUUUUUCAUAUAACUCAAUCAAAAUAAUGUAUCAUAACAGAUUGAAUAUAGAAGUAGAUAGGAAAAGCUACCUGUCAGGGCUGGGGCUGUAGUUCGGUGUUAGAGCACUUGCCUAGCAUGGGUGAGGCACUGGGUUCUAUCCUCAGCACCACAUAAAAAAUAAAUUAAUUAAAGUUAUUAAAAAAAAGAAAAACAAACAAACCUACCUGUCUUCUAUUAAGCUAAACAUGAAAGAAAUUUGAAAAACUUGCAUAAUAAUGUCACAUUUCUUACUAAGUUACUUUUUUAGUUUGAAAAAAUAGUGAAAUUAUCUUAUUGUUUCUAUAUAAAAUAAAAGUUUUAAAAUGAAUUAAAUAUCUAAGAAUUUUUCAUUUGGCAAAUAUUGACAAUUAGAACUCUUGUGAACAAAACUCUUGGGGGAGUACUCAGUAAUUUUUAAGAACACAAAGGAAUCCUGACAUUGAGAAGUUUGAGAACUGUUUCUUUAAGAAAAGGCUCAUCAAAUGAAUACAGUUUUAAAUAUUUAAUGUUAUUUGAGUAUGGACAGUAUGACUCUAGUUCUUUUCUCAGUUGUAGGGAUAUGUCAUUGGAUUUCUGUUACUUUUUCCAAAUAGGCAGUGUGUUCCUGUGUGUAUUUUUAAAGAAGACUUUCGUUUUUAACUUUUUUUGGUACCGGAAAUUGAACCCAGGGGCACUCAACCACUGAACCACACAACCCCAGUCCUUUUUAUUUUGAGACAGGGUAUUGCUAAGUUGCUCAGGGUCUUGGUAAGUAGCUGAGGUGUUCUUGAGCUUGUUAUCCUCUUGCCUCAGCCUCCCCAGCUGCUGGGAUUACAGGCCUGUGCUACCAUGCCCAGCAAAGAUUUUUAUUUUUAAGAUUGAUGCUACCUAUAGGAUUACACUCAGAAUUGAGAUAUGGUUAAUAGUAAUACCAGUUAGUCUUUUUAUGCUUAAUACCUUUCUUUGGGGGGUUGGUGGUAACCAGGAAUUGAACUCAGGGGCACUUGACCACUGAGCCACAUCCCCAGCCCUAUAUUGUAUUUUAUUUAGAGACAGGGUCUCACUGAGUUGCUAAGCACCUUGGUGUUGCUUAGGCUGGUUUUGAACUCAUGAUCCUCCUGUCUCAGCCUCUCUAGCCGUUGAGAUUACAAGAGUGCGCCACCAUGCUUGGCUUGAUAUCACUCUUUUGUAAUGAGGUAUAUAUGCUGUUUUUGGAGCUUUUCACCAUGGCAAGUAUAUCAGUGUUGUAGUGAAACUCAUUUUGCUGAAUAUAAACUGACAUUUUCUCAGAAGUCCAUACACCAGGCUUAUGUAUUCUGACAUUUCAUAGCUAUUUUCUGGUAUGGUCAAUCUACAGUUUAAGAAUGUGUAUCUGAAUUAGUUACUUGCAACAAAACCAUAUAUAGUAUGAACUACAGAUGAGUAUAUAGUACUAGUAUAGUAUGGACAGUUCAGCCUCAUUGUGGACUAUUAACAUUUUUCUAUGGGAAAUUACAUUUUUACUCCUUGAAAUCUAGCCAAACAUGUAUCUUCAUUGCAAUCUAGCAGUAGCAAGAGAUCCCACUUUGCCCCUCAAAGUAGAAACAGGAUUGUUAAAGCUUUAAUAAUAGCUUUUAACAUUAAAAAGCUUUAAUGUGCUCAAAAGGCACACUAACUUGGGCAUCUUAUGUGAGUGAAAGAUGAUAAUACUCUCAGACGAAGCAAGUAUAUAAACUUUGGGCCAACUAGCAAUAAUGGAGGGAAAAAAGAGAAGGGAUGUUCUGGAGGAUAUUUUGAGGGUGGUAUGUUCCCUUUUGGGACAGACUUUUUUAAAUAAAAAGGUAUAUAUAUGUAGGUUGGAAAAUUCAUAAGUGUAUAUGGAGUUUGCUUUGUUGUGUUUUUAUGGUUGGAGAUUUGUAUUAACUGACCUCAAGCAACAGAAUGACAAGCCAAUUGGGAAGGUUGAACUUACCUUUAGGCCAGAGAUUUGAAAUAAAAAGAGUGAGUGAUGAGCUCCAGGGGCAAUGAUAAUCAGAAGGAGUAGUGGAGGCCAGAAGUAUGUUGAUAUAUGUAGGCUGUAAAGGGGACCCCCAAAAGUCCAUGUUCUAGGGUGGUUGUUAGAACAGGGGGUAGGACUGAUAAUUGGCCAGCACAGUUCAGUCGAAAAUGUUUUACUCAGCUCAUUGCCCUGAGGUCUCUGGCAGGAAAGAUAGAAGACAUGUGUUCUAUACAGGAAGCCCAGCCCAUAUGGAGAGUGGUUGAUAUGAAGUAGAAAUCCAGAACCAUAGGAGCUUGGAGAAAUGGAAGAAGCUAAAGUUGGAAAACUAGAAUUUGACCUGUGUUAAGCUCCUUGCUUCUUCCUGUCCUGUCAAUAUUAAUCCCUUGAAUUGAGGCAAAACUGAACCAAAGGAGACAGAAAGUGACUUAUAGGUGUCAGCAUUGAAGAGACAGGAUUGACCCAACAAAUGUAUGUUAAUUGGAUGGUAAUUAAGACGGGGAACAAUUGGGUCAUUAUAGUAUUUCCACUCAGGUUCUUUAUACAGCAGACCCUGGGUAGCAUAUUACCUGCCCACCAAAAAAUUCUCUAGGCCUGGGGUUGCAAAUUCUUUUUUUAAAGCACCAGAUAGUAAAUAUUUUAAGCUUUAUGGGUCAGAUGGUUUCUGUUGCACUUAAGUCUGUUGCUGCAUGAAAGCAACUGAAGAAAAACACAUUAAUAAAGGAACAUGGCUGUGUUUCAAUAAAGCCUUAUUUAUGAAGACUCAAAUUUGAAUUUCAUAUAUUUUCACAUAUCACAAAAUAUUAGAAAAAUGUUUUUCAGCCAUUUAAUAAUAUAAAACCCAUCUUUAGAUCAUAGCUAUAUAAUAGCAUGCACUAAGCUGGAUUUUGGCCCAUGAGCUCUUGUUUUCUGGCCCCUGUUUUAGGAAAUGAAUGACUUAUCAGUUAUGAUGCAGAAAGCUUAGCAGUACUGAAAUAGAUGUUCUCUAGGACAAUGCUCUUGGUGACACUGUCUUGUUUUGUAGGUGACACUGAUGAUAAAAAUCCGUUCAAGAAUUUAGAUGUGACAUCUGCAGCAGGUUCAAAUCUCUCAGCUAUAAGACAAACUGGAUACUUCAUAAGAAUUGUCAUCUAUUAUGCACAGAGAGCCAAAAUCCGUUACUGAGAUUGUCUGGGUGAGCUGCCUGCUGGGUCCAGUGAUGCAGUAGUAGACAAAGAAGUUGAAAGAGAAGUCUGGCAUAUUCUGUGGAUGACUGGCAGAGUGUGACACCAAUAUGGCAUCAGGCCCUACUAUGAUUCCAAGGACUUUAUGACAAAAUAAAAAAGAAAAAAAAUAUUUGUAAUAGAGCUUGGUGUGAUUGAAGUAAAUAUGAUCUUUAUUUUGGGAAUGUGUACUGCAUUAUCAUUCCAUAAUGAUAUAUAGUAAUUGCCUUGUUAAUCAAACUUUAAACAUUCUAUCUUUAUUCACAAAACUUAUGUAGUUAUUACCUUUUCUAAUUUGGUUCUCUAACUCUAAGGAAAUUCGGUGAAAAAUAACAACUGUUUACUAAGUAGGUUAAUUUAAGGACAAUUAUUUUCACUUGGAAAUUUUUGUUUGGGAUUCUUGAAACUGUGCUCUCAUGUACAGCAUUUAAAAUAUUUCUAUUUGUGAAAAGCUACUUGGAUUUUCUUAGAACCAUCUUUUUGAGUAGACUCCUUUACUCAAUAGUAAAUAGAAAAUAAUAAUGUAGAGUACUAGUAUAUAUAGAAUGUUGAAUUUCUAAAUUGUUUCAGACCUAUUAAUUAUAUACACUUAGAAAAUUUAGCAAGCAGGUAUGAUUAGAAUAAACUUGUGUAUUUUUUUUAGCUAUUGAACCAUAAAACUGGAACAUCAAAGUAGUUCUGAAUCAAAUUGGUGUUUUAUUUGGUUAAUAAUCUUUUUUUUUCUUGGUAUGUAUCAAUUUAUACCAUUAAUAGAGGAUUUGAAAGUAGCACUGGGAAAUGAAGUGGGUAGAUUCUCCCAAAGUUGGAUUCCAUUUUUACCCUCAGUGAAUUGUCAACUUUUUUUUUUUAAAUUUAUUUUUUUAAUGUUAGUAUUCAACAGAAGCUCUGACAGUCUAGGAUAUAAAACAUUUUAUUUAACUUGUACAGCUCAUUUACAAAUGAAGCUUCCCUCGUGACUUAUCUUGAAAUCCUUAUUCAAAGCAUAUACUAUUUAAUUUGUCAGUAUGCCAUUGCCUGACUGCAUGUUUUUGGUCAAGAGUGUAGUGCCACUAACAUAGCCAUCCUGCUAGGAAGAUGAUCUGAAGGUUGCUGGACAGUAGAAUUUACACACUUCUAAUUUACAAGUCAGAUUAGGGUCAUAAUCAUAUGAUAGUUUUAUGUGGAAUUGAUUUCAUGGUUUUUUAAGCUAUUUUUUGUUAUUGCAGCAAUGCCAUUAACUGAAAUGCAGUUUUAUUGUAGCAUGAGAGUACCUCAAACUCUUUUGAAUUUGGAAGAAGAGGGUUGUUGGUAUAGAUGCUUAAAUCCUAAAACUCAGGGAUUUUGUGUACCUGGGUAUGUAUGUAUACACAUAUAUGUGGAUGUGUGGGUUAUCAAACAUAAGGUCUUGUGUAUACUAGAUGGGUGCUCUACCUCUGAGCUAUGUCCUCUGUUCAUAACCCAAGGAGUUUGAAUGAGAAUGUCUCUUAUUGUACAUAAUUUAAUUGCCCAAUGGAUUGAUUUGAGGUUGGUGUGAUAAAUAUUUGAAAAUAUAUGGUAUUUUGAAAUGUAAGUUAUUUUGGAAGGACCAUUUGUCUGUGUGUAUGUGUGUGUUUAAAUCAGCAAUCAAGGGCUGGGGAUGUAGUUCAGUGGUAGAGUGAAUGCCUAACAUGUAUGAGACCUUGGGUUUGAUCCUCAUCAUUGUAAAUAUAAAUAAAAUAGCAAUCACCUUUUUGCCUUAUAGAUAAGAUAUAUUUAGUAAGAGAUGUGAAUUUAGUGUUAAUAGCUCAUUGAAAUCUGGACGUCCCUUGUGGUUUUUGGAGGCUUAGUGUAAGGGGCAAGGGAUAAUAAAUAGAGCACUGUAGUUUACAGUUACUUUUUCUUUUCAAAAUAAGGUAACAUAGAAUAGUACAUAAAUACAAUUUAAUGGGUUAUAGUUAUUCUCAAUUUACCUGUCCAGAUUGAAAUUGAGAACCAUCUCAUAAUAGCAUUAAGAAGUAUUCAUAGCAGAAUGACUAGUGCUAUUCAAUUUGAGUGUUCUAUGUUUAGUUGCAGAAAAACAUCUGUGUUAAAUUUUUGCCAUGGUUCUUGAGCCAUUAAUUGAUUUGUUAAAUAUAGUCAAGAAAAUAAGAAAAUCCGAGUGUUUAAAACUGGGUUUGUAUCAGCAGUCAAAAGAACAUUUGGUUUUAUCCUCACCUACUUUCUUAUGUGGUAGACUCAUGAGUUACUUUCUGAGAUGACAAAACAUUGGGAUGAGGAGGAUGUUAAGAAUUCAUCAGUUAUGUCCUUUUUUCUAUCAACUAUGUUUCACAAAGGAUUUAUUUAGUUAUGACAUUUUUAGGUUAUGAUGAUUUACAUGGACUUCAAGAAGAUUUGGAGAAAAGUUAAUGUAAGGUAAGGGUAUAGUAGGUAUAUAUUACUGUGUUUGUUUUAGUAGAGCAGUGAUUUUAGGUUGAUACUUAUACCAUCUUUGCCUCUAACUUCAUGGUCUCUGAUUAUAGCUGCUUUUUCUUCAGGAGAAUGGGAGGUAAUUUUUUGAAUUUCAGACAUUGGGAAAUUAGUGGAAUGGAGUGAUUUGUUACUGUGGACUGUUUAUUGAAGCUCUGCAACCAGACAUUGAGUAAGGUACUUUACAUAAGUUAUUUCUAGUUCUGUCUACACCCUUGAAAGCGUAUAGAAUUAUCUCCAUUUCAUGAUGAGGAUACUAGGAGUUAAAUGGUAUAUCUUUGAAUAAAUAUUGAAAUAGUGUCCUAUAGCUAGUGAUUCAUUUUGGGAAAAGUUUUUUUUUGUAUCUGGAGAAUGUUUGAUGAAUUAAGAAAUAAAAAUGUAAUCUAAAAAACCAGCAUAUACUAUGGGAAAAUUUCAAGAUUUAACAGCUUUUAACAUGAAUAACUUCAUGUUGGGAUAGAAUGAUGUUGGAGCCUCCUUGAAAACCUUGAUGUGGUACAUUUGCCAAUGAUGAAUCUGGUCUCUAGAAUUAUCUAUUGGGUUGCCUUUGAUAUUAGUAUAGUAUUAUGAUAUAUAACUGUACUUCCGGGUUUAAAUAAUGUCUAGGUAGAAAAUUCAUAUUUAAAGGGUGAGUGAUAAUGAGCUAUUAUAGAAACUGAUGCAUAUCAUAAGUUGAGUUGGAUCACCUCUAAAUAGAAUGUUUAGAGAAAGUAUUUGCAAGUAUGUUUGAAGAAGUGAUGAAAGAAAAUUAAACUAUAUACCCCAGUGAAUUCAGUCUAUUUGAUCAGUUUCCUAAUUCAGUUUAGUUGAACAAAGUUGGAUUUGAGUUGAAGGAAGCUUUAGUGAGCGUUUAGAACAGAAUAAGUAUGGUACUGCACUAAGGCAUUUCAUGGAAAGCAAAGAUGACUGAGACAUUUGCUGUCUCAGGGAAUGGCAUUAGCAUAGACAACUGAAGGUAAUCCAUGACAGAAUAACAUGGGUGCUCUCCAUUUUUAUGUGGCAGUACUGUGGGAAUGUGAAAAAUGUGGUAUGUAUAACUGGGGUUCAGGGUAGGCUAUGUGGAGGAGGCCAGGUUUGGGCUGGAUCUUGAAAGAAGAGAAGGAUAUCAAGUAGGAAGAAGGGUAUUCUAUCCUAAAAUAAGGGGUAAUCAUAGGCAUGGAAUUAGGAAUAAAUAGAUGGCUGGGAAGCAGUAAUACUUAUACUGAACAGAUACAAAUUUUAGAAAAUGGUUUCAACUACCAUUUAAGCAUACUUGCCCACAUUAUAAUUCCAGUAGAGGCUUGACAUAUUUGCUUGUUAUUUGUACGUUUCUUUGGUAAUGCACAAAGUAUCUUUCUUUGUGAUAUAUGGUGUGCAUUAUCAAGGUGGAAAUGUUACUCACUUAAGAGCCUGGAGGGUUAUAAGCAUCAAAAUCAAACUUCUAAGUCUAAUCACAAAGUCUAUUACUUGCCUUGAUUUAAAACAGUAAAAUAUAGAGAUGAUGAUGAUUUUUACAUAUGAACCUAAGAAGCAUUUGGCAAUGCAAUUAGUUUCAUAACAAGUGAUUGUUUUUUAAAGCCUUCCCAGAAUAAGAAUGAGUAUCUUGAUGCUAGUGUCACUUUUAAAUAGCUGUAGCUCCAGGAAUGUGUCUGUUCACAUUAUUAUCUUAAAUAUACACCUUAUCUAUCCAUAUUGCUGUACUUCAAAUGUGAAAGUAAAAAUAAAGGUGUGAAGUGCCUAGCAGACUUGUAUGGAUUUAUGUAAAUCAGAAAACACAAAAAUCCAUUAGUCUCAGUGCUGAAGCCUUGAUGUAUUUAAGUAUGAAAUAUUUCCUUAAAGUUACACACAAACACACACACACACACACACACACCCCAUAAUUUCUAGGGAUUUACUUAGCAAAAAAAAAAAUAUUUAUUUCACUGAACUCCAGACAUGGAUUCAACUGUCGUCUUAUUGCUCCAUAAGAUUAUUAAAGUUAUAUAAAUAUUUAAGUGCCCCAAAUUGAUCCUUUUACCCCAAUUUUUUCAUCUUUGGCCUUUCCCUUGUAAAUUAGUGGACAAUUAGUCUUUAUUUCUUCUUUCCCUUAGACAAACUCUUGGAGUCAUCACUGAUUUCUUUCUUUUCUUUUUAAUAAUUUUAGUUUAUUUUUUAGUGCGUUAUAGUUAUACAUAAUGGUGGGGUUCAUUUUGACAUAUUCAUAAAAGUAUAUAACAUAGUUUUUUCCAUUUUAUUACCCAUACUACCUGCUUCCCUUCUAUCCUCUCUCCUCCAGGUCCCCUUUCUCCACUCUACUGGUCUUUAUUUCUUCUUUUCCUUUUUUCUUCCUUCCUUCCUUGUCCACACUCUGUCAGUAGUUCAUGCUGACUCAUCAAAACACAUCUACAAUUUAAACCUGACCACCUGUCACCACCUUCGCUACUACCUUGUUUAAGCCACUAUCUCUUACUUGGGCUAUUUUAAUAGCCUCCUGACUGGCCUCUCAGCUUCUCAGAACCUGAAACCUAGUCCUCUAAUAUAGUACAAUAACCAGAAAAAUGAUACUAAAACAGAGGUAAAAUCUGUCACUCAAAACUUCAGUUGUUUCCUAUCUUAUGCAUUGUAAAAGCUAAAUCUUGUUAGAAGCCUGCCUAUAAAACUCUGUCUAGUGCACCUUCAUAACCUCAUUAUUUAGAUUUUCUUUGUUUGCUACCUUUCAUUCACAGCUGAAUUGUAUAUUGUUUCUUGAAUAAUUGUUCUGGGAUAUUAAGUUUACUGGUUCUUCUUCCUGAAGUGCUUUUACUAUUAGAUGGCCAUUCAGCUUAUUCUCUAGUCUUUCUUGAUAUGUUAAAUCCCUAGUGAGACCUUCCUUGAUCAUCUUACUUAAAAUGCCUCUCUCCUUCCUACUUCUUUUUCUUGUUUUCACUUCCCCAAAUUCACUGACUGUAUAUUCCAUCUUACUCUUUUGUGGUCUUUUUCUGAUAUGAUGAAACCUUGAUGACUGCAAGGAAUUUUUCCCAAUUUAUUUAAUAUUGGACCACUAAACCUAUUCCCAUACAUAUUUGUUACUUAAUACAUAAUUGACUGAAUGAAUAAAAGAUAUAACUUACUUCAUAGAAGUUAAACCUGUGGUAAAAACCUAAUUUGUCUCCUGUUGACAUCUUUGGGGAAUGAUAUUUCCAAAUGCCUGAGUGUUACUUCUUCAAAAAUUUUAAAUAAUAUAUAUUUGUGUAAUUUGCAUAUAAUAUACUUACUUUAAGCAUGGAGGUCCAUGAAUUUUGGCAAAUAUACACUGUUAUGUAAUAUUUUUGUUCCAAUUAAAAGGUAUAGAAUAUUUCUGUCACUUCAAAAAAUUCCCAUCUCUCCCGUCACUUCUUUCCUCAUCCCCAUCUUUAGGCAACUAUUGAUCUGACUUUUUGUCAUUGUAAAUUUGUUUUACUUGCUCUAGAGUUUCAUAUAAACAGACUUAUACAUUAUAUGUUUUUUCAGUGUGCUAUUUUUGAGGCUAUUAUUAGGUGUCAUAUUAAUUUGUUUUCAUUACAGAAUAGUGUGCCUUUUUUAAUAAAUGUGCCACAAUUUGCUUAUCAGUUUAUUUGUUAUGGACAUUUGAAGUGUUUCCAUUUUUUUGCCUAUAAGUAAUAAUGCCACCCUGAGUGUUCACAUAUGAGUCUUUGUGUAAAUAUGCUUUGUCAUAUGGUAAGUGCAUGUUUAACUUUGAAAGAAAUUUCCCCUCUGUGAUCAUACCAUAUUCACUACCAAUGUCUGAAAUUCUAGUUCCUAAACAUUCUAGCUGGUACUUACCAUAAUUCUUUUAAAUCCAGACAUUCUGUUGAGUGUGUAGUCAUAUAUCUUAUUGUUUUAAUUUUCAUUUAUUAAUUACUUGAAUUACUUGAUUUCCAGUGAUGCUGAUAUUUUCUGUUUUUUUUUGUUGUUGUUGUUGUGGGGAGAUGCUGGGGUUGAAGCCAGGGUUGUUUCAGGUCAUGCGCAUGAUCUUUCCAUUUACUUUUUGGCAAUUGUUUAUCUUUUGUGAAAUGUUUGAUCAAAUCUUGUGUUCAUUUGAGGAAAAAUUGAAUUAUUCAUUGUCAUUCAGUUACAGAGUUCUUUAUAUAUUUGUAUUCAAAUCCUUGUCAGAUGUAUCUUUUCCUGGUCUGUAGAUAUCCUUUUUCUUUUAUUGAUGGUCCAAUUUGAGGAGCAGAGGUUUUCAAAUUUAAGUCUAGUUUAUUAAUAUUUUCUUUUGUGGUCUGUCUUCCUUCCCUCUCUCUCUUUCUUCCUUGAACUCUUUGACUCCUGGUUGUAAGGAUUUUCUCAUUUUCUCUAAUCAUUUUACAGUUUAAGCUUUUUCAUUAGGUCUUUGGUCCAUUUUGAGUAAAUUUUUGUAUACAUGUGGGGUAAAGAUUAAGGUUCACUUUUCUGUCUCUCCUUGUUCAAGGUCCACUUGUUGAAAAAAACUAUCUUUUCUCCUUUAAGUUAUCUUUAAAUGUUUGUUAUAAAUCAACUAAUUGUAUAUGUGUAGUACUUUUCGUAGAUUGUAUUAUAUUGAUCUAUAUGUGUUUCCCGUCAACAUAUUGUUUCAUAGUAAGUCUUGAAAUCACAUAGUGUAAAUUCUUUAACUUCGUUUCUCUUUUUUCAAAUUGUAUUGAGUAUUUCUUUUUCAUUUUCAUAUCAAUUAUAGAUUUGGCUUAUAAUUUUAUGCAAAGUGUCUGUAGGAUUUUAAUUGCCACUGUAUUGAAUUCUGUAGAUCAAUUAGGGAAGCAUUAAUCUCUAGACUACUGUUCUAUUUCAAUCCAUGAACACAAUAUAGCUCCAUUUAUUUAGUUAUUCUUUAGUUUCUCUAAGCAGUAGUUUUCAGUGUGUUGGUUUUUUAAAAUUUAUCCUAAGUGAAUAGGAUAUGAAUUAGAUUUUGAAUGUUUUUGAAAAUGCCAUUUUUUCAAAACAAAAUUUACAAUUUGUAAUGGUUAUUAUUUAGGAGUAGACUUAAUUUUUACAUGUUGAACUUGUAUCCUGCUACCUUGCUAUUUCAUCCAUUUAUGCUUUUAACUUUUGUGAAUUCUUUAGGUUUUGCUUUGUAUAUGAUCCUGUUAAUCACAAAU
RNAcentral lists this long non-coding RNA (15049 nucleotides) under Marmota monax (woodchuck). The record is from RNAcentral. Lineage: Eukaryota; Metazoa; Chordata; Mammalia; Rodentia; Sciuridae.